UNCCUGAGUGUCAAAGCAGAAUUUGGUGAG
Molecule: non-coding RNA, 30 nt
Filed under: Mus musculus (house mouse)
Lineage: Eukaryota; Metazoa; Chordata; Mammalia; Rodentia; Muridae
Source: RNAcentral